AUUGAACGCUGGCGGCAGGCCUAACACAUGCAAGUCGAGCGGAUGAGGGGAGCUUGCUCCUGGAUUCAGCGGCGGACGGGUGAGUAAUGCCUAGGAAUCUGCCUGGUAGUGGGGGAUAACGUCCGGAAACGGGCGCUAAUACCGCAUACGUCCUGAGGGAGAAAGUGGGGGAUCUUCGGACCUCACGCUAUCAGAUGAGCCUAGGUCGGAUUAGCUAGUUGGUGGGGUAAAGGCCUACCAAGGCGACGAUCCGUAACUGGUCUGAGAGGAUGAUCAGUCACACUGGAACUGAGACACGGUCCAGACUCCUACGGGAGGCAGCAGUGGGGAAUAUUGGACAAUGGGCGAAAGCCUGAUCCAGCCACGCCGCGUGUGUGAAGAAGGUCUUCGGAUUGUAAAGCACUUUAAGUUGGGAGGAAGGGCAGUAAGUUAAUACCUUGCUGUUUUGACGUUACCGACAGAAUAAGCACCGGCUAACUUCGUG
RNAcentral lists this ribosomal RNA (484 nucleotides) under uncultured bacterium. RNAcentral's name for it is "partial 16S ribosomal RNA". It matches the Rfam family "Bacterial small subunit ribosomal RNA", at positions 30 to 507 of the family's 1533-position model. The record is from RNAcentral.